This 253-nucleotide ribosomal RNA is filed under the name uncultured bacterium. RNAcentral describes it as "partial 16S ribosomal RNA". It matches the Rfam family "Bacterial small subunit ribosomal RNA", at positions 524 to 776 of the family's 1533-position model. The record is from RNAcentral.
UACGUAGGGGGCAAGCGUUGUCCGGAUUUAUUGGGCGUAAAGAGCGUGUAGGCGGCCAGGUAGGUCCGUUGUGAAAACUCGAGGCUCAACCUCGAGACGUCGGCGGAAACCCUCUGGCUAGAGUCCGGAAGAGGAGAGUGGAAUUCCUGGUGUAGCGGUGAAAUGCGCAGAUAUCAGGAAGAACACCCGUGGCGAAGGCGGCUCUCUGGGACGUGACUGACGCUGAGACGCGAAAGCGUGGGGAGCAAACAGG